Molecule: ribosomal RNA, 117 nt
Filed under: uncultured bacterium
Lineage: Bacteria
Description: partial 16S ribosomal RNA
Rfam family: Bacterial small subunit ribosomal RNA
Source: RNAcentral
CCUACGGGAGGCAGCAGUUAAGAAUCUUCCGCAAUGGGCGAAAGCCUGANGUAGCGACGCCGCGUGAACGAAGAAGGCCGUGAGGUUGUAAAGUUCUUUUCGGGAGGGGGAACUACC